UAGACCUCAAAUCAGUCAGGACUACCCGCUGAACUUAAGCAUAUCAAUAAGCGGAGGAAAAGAAACUAACAAGGAUUCCCCUAGUAACGGCGAGUGAAGUGGGAAAAGCUCAACUUUGAAAUCUGGCACCUUCGGUGUCCGAGUUGUAGUCUCAAGAAGUGUUUUCUGUGCUGGUCCAUGUAUGAGUCUGUUGGAACACAGCGUCAUAGAGGGUGACAACCCCGUUCAUGACAUGGAUACCAGUGCUUUGUGAUACACUCUCGAAGAGUCGAGUUGUUUGGGAAUGCAGCUCAAAUUGGGUGGUAAAUUCCAUCUAAAGCUAAAUAUUGGCGAGAGACCGAUAGCAAACAAGUACCGUGAGGGAAAGAUGAAAAGCACUUUGGAAAGAGAGUUAACAGUACGUGAAAUUGUUGAAAGGGAAACGAUUGAAGUCAGACGUGCGUGAUGCGGUUCAGCACUGGUUCGCCAGUGUGUAUUCCGUAUCUUUGCAGGCCAACAUCAGUUUCGGUAGUCGGAUAAAGGUUAGUUGAAUGUGGCACCCUCGGGUGUGUUAUAGCUUCUAACUGAAUACGAUUUCUGGGACUGAGGAACGCAGCGCGCCGCAAGGCAAAGGUUCCGACCUUUUCGCGCUUAGGAUGUUGGUGAAAUGGCUUUAAACGACCCGUCUUGAAACACG
RNAcentral lists this ribosomal RNA (676 nucleotides) under Cystobasidium slooffiae. Its description in RNAcentral is "eukaryotic LSU rRNA". It matches the Rfam family "Eukaryotic large subunit ribosomal RNA", at positions 1 to 663 of the family's 3401-position model. Lineage: Eukaryota; Fungi; Basidiomycota; Cystobasidiomycetes; Cystobasidiales; Cystobasidiaceae. The record is from RNAcentral.